UUUUUUUUUUUUUCCCUGUGGUAUUUACAGUGCCCUGAUGCUCAUUCAGUUUUCCUAGCUAACAGCUAGGGAGGUAGAUGGAGCUGCCUGGAAUCCUGACAUCAGACACUUGACAGGCACUUCCUGCUUCAGGCAUCCAGCAGGAGGGCAGCAGGCAGCUUGGAUGUGUUCCUAUGUCAGGAACAGGACCCCAACAGAGUGGGAUUUCCACAAUGUACCUGCCCCACUGACUUCUGGAAGAAGUUCCUCUCAAACCUGUGUGUCAUUCCCAGGCAUCACUCCUAUUUUCCUGGGGAAAUACUGACCCUCAGAAUAUGGUGUGUUUGAGAUGCUGAAGACACCAAACUACUGUUUGCUGGGGUCUCCAGACUGCCAGACUGGCUGCCAGCUUGUUAAACACACACUGAUGUGCCAUUAGGGAGCUGAAGUGUCAUCAAUGUUAUAAACCUGAACCUGUAGCUUAAUUUAGGGGCUUGUCAGACAUACGGUAAUAGGCUGGUAAGGCUUGGUGAAAGGUGGCGUUUGCAGGCAUCUGUACAUUUUUAAUCUCUGUAUACAAUAAAAUAUUACAUAUUAGCUUUUGCUCUUGCUGGCAGAUUUGUUGUGGGAAGAUCUACUUUGGGACUCCAGUAGCACUGAAUACUGAGCAAGUGACAGAAAUAGGGAGUUUGGAGCAAUGUCUCUGCUGGCGUAACUCCAUUGCAGCCAGAGGGUGAAAUCCCAGCCCUGUUGAGAUGCACGGGACUUGUGCCAGGCUUCAGCUGCUGAGAACUCUUUUAGCAACUCAACCCUGAUUUUGCUUUGGACUGAAACCUCCCUGUGGAUCUCAGCCUAGAAACACUUGCAUCUUUCACACAGAAGAAAAAUGUUCUGCAGCAAGCAAAUGAGCUUGGAAAUGAUUUAAACUUCAUCAGUGGAGCUCUAGCUAUAGACAUUCACUGUAGGCUAAAUUUGGUUUGUGUGGUAAGACAUGAAGGUGCUCAGAGACACUCAUCUCCCUCAGUGAUGGAAGGGCUCAUGCUUGGCUGCAAUCACAGUUUAUUUGACAUGCUCCCUGUUACUCCUGUGAAUGGCAGGAGCAAAGUUUUGGUGCUUUCAGUGUAACUCAUUCAUGCAGUCAGUGCUCAUCAACAUUUUCAAAAGACCAGGAACCCUAGAUAUUGACAAUGUACUUCUCUCUUCUCUUUACAGUGUAUGUUGCUGUCCUGGCAUCCCAGCUCCUUUUCCAGGCCUAUCCAUUGCUCCAGAGUAUUUGCUGGCAGCUCUUGAGGAUGCAGGCACACCUGCAUCAAAGUGCCGCUCCUGUUUGUGGGACUACAGCCCCAGAAAGGUCGGAGAGCUGGUGCUUCCAUUACCCACGGCUGUGACUUGAUAACCUUAUGGUUCUGAGGUCAAAAAUUAAGCAGGAAAAGAGGGGCUGGAAAACCAAAAUAAAUUAAUAAUAAUUCUGAUUUCCUUAUACAUUUUAAAGAAGCAGAAUGGGGAAAACUGUUUUGCUUUGCAGGUCACUUUCACAGCAAACAGGAAUCAUUCAGCUACUGCUGGAUAAUACCAAGGGCUCUCUCAGAGGCUGACAAUUGGAAUGAUUAAAAAAAUAUGAGCAAGAUUUUAAGUGUCUCUUUGAGAAACAAGCAGAGCAAAAUUGUUCAUCAGUGGUGGAACAGACACUGUAAACAAUGUAUUUAAUGAAUCUGGAAGGAUCUUGUAAGGGAGCAGAUGACCAGCUCUGUCUUUCCAGCACAGCUCCAGUCCCUUACAGGAGUUUGUGACCUUGCCUUUCUAUCCCACACAUCAAGCUUUCUGCAGCUGUGUCUCUUUUUGCAUUUUAGAAAACGGGAAAUAUUUCACAGAAUCACAGAAUCAAUGAAAUUGGUUGGUGAUCUAGCACAGGUUGCCAAGGAUGGUGUCCAGUUGGGUUUUGAGUAUCUUUAUGGAGUGAGAUUCCACCACCUUUCUGCACAACUGACUUGUUUUGGGGCAUUCUCACAGUAAAAAAAAAAAAAAAAAAAAAAAAAAAAA
RNAcentral lists this long non-coding RNA (2019 nucleotides) under Taeniopygia guttata (zebra finch). RNAcentral describes it as "lncRNA (ENSTGUG00000022705.1)". Lineage: Eukaryota; Metazoa; Chordata; Aves; Passeriformes; Estrildidae. The record is from RNAcentral.